This 259-nucleotide ribosomal RNA is filed under the name uncultured bacterium. RNAcentral describes it as "partial 16S ribosomal RNA". It matches the Rfam family "Bacterial small subunit ribosomal RNA", at positions 333 to 585 of the family's 1533-position model. The record is from RNAcentral.
AGUUACCUACGGGGGCAGCAGUAGGGAAUCUUCCACAAUGGGCGAAAGCCUGAUGGAGCAACGCCGCGUGGGUGAAGAAGGUCUUCGGAUCGUAAAACCCUGUUGUUAGAGAAGAAAGUGCGUGAGAGUAACUGUUCACGUUUCGACGGUAUCUAACCAGAAAGCCACGGCUAACUACGUGCCAGCAGCCGCGGUAAUACGUAGGUGGCAAGCGUUAUCCGGAUUUAUUGGGCGUAAAGGGGACGCAGGCGGUCUUUUA